RNAcentral lists this transfer RNA (74 nucleotides) under Subdoligranulum sp. Its description in RNAcentral is "tRNA-Arg". It matches the Rfam family "tRNA". Rfam says of the family: Transfer RNA (tRNA) molecules are approximately 80 nucleotides in length. Their secondary structure includes four short double-helical elements and three loops (D, anti-codon, and T loops). Further hydrogen bonds mediate the characteristic L-shaped molecular structure. tRNAs have two regions of fundamental functional importance: the anti-codon, which is responsible for specific mRNA codon recognition, and the 3' end, to which the tRNAs corresponding amino acid is attached (by aminoacyl-tRNA synthetases). tRNAs cope with the degeneracy of the genetic code in two manners: having more than one tRNA (with a specific anti-codon) for a particular amino acid; and 'wobble' base-pairing, i.e. permitting non-standard base-pairing at the 3rd anti-codon position. Lineage: Bacteria; Bacillati; Bacillota; Clostridia; Eubacteriales; Oscillospiraceae. The record is from RNAcentral.
GCGUCUGUAGCUCAGCUGGAUAGAGCACUGGCCUCCGACGCUAGGUACCGGGGGUUCGAAUCCCUUCGGGCGCA